AACAGACCAGUAGACACAAAACAGCCUACAGUCCGACCGGUCCCUGGUUUGUUCUACACAGCGUUAAACUUUUGUGUUCGCGAUGCAGAAGUUCUUUGCUUUGUUGCUCGGACUGGGCAUGAUUGUAGGCAUCGUCAUGCUUGUUAUGGGUUAUAUCUAAACCUCUACAGCAGCACAAGUGGAAGAAGCGAAGAGCUGUAUGAUGGAACUCUGUCUUGAGGGAAAACUUGACAAGGACAUUGACAAAAUAGGUAAAAAUGGCAAUGAACUGAUGACGUGAGCGGAUCAACCUAGAAGACCAAACAGACUCAUCCUGCAUUAUUCACCCAAGCGACACAAACAACUGUUAGGCGAUCAGGGGAGAUGCAGAACAGCACUUACGCAAUCUCCAAGCAUCUCUCUGUUAGGAAAGACGUUAGCCAUCCCGGUUGAAUCCCAUCCUGUUACAAUAAGCCGAAGUGUGUUCUCACUCAAGGAUAAGGAAGCUGAUAUUUAGUUAGUAGUACUAUGUUUUAUAGAUUUGUCAUUAACUACAGACAAUUAGAGGUGAUGAUUGCAAAGAUUUUUAAUACUAUUAAUAUAAUAAUAUCAAAUAUUGCAUUUUCAAGAUGUAACAUGAAAACAUACAGCAUUAACAUGUCAUACACGAGCCAGUAGAUUGAGUCUGUAGAGGAUAUUCGCACGAAACUGAUCUGACUAGCAUGUGAACUGUGUCUAGAUCUCAGUCUUAAUUGUAAUAUUUGAAGACUAGCUACCAUACCCACGAUUGCAUUCUUAUUGUCGUUAUCCACACCCAACCAGUGUGUAUAUAUGCCACAACGCUACAAAACAAUAAACUUUGUUGUUUGCACAUUUUCAAUACCAUAUUUCUUGUUGAUGAUUGAGUAGCUAUAAUAAGCUUCUGCUUCUGAUCAUUUCACCAUCUGGUCUUCCGUGCCUCACGUCGCCAAAGUGACAGAUUCAGCUUCCGGUGGUGCUUCUUCGUCUUCUUCCUUCUUGAUUCUUUCUUUCUUCCACUCUUGAUUUCAGCAAAUGCUGGUAACGUUACAGACGUCAGGCUCCUCAUAUGGCUGAAGAAUGACCGGUGGUGGCUCUCG
Molecule: long non-coding RNA, 1097 nt
Organism: Branchiostoma belcheri (Belcher's lancelet)
Lineage: Eukaryota; Metazoa; Chordata; Leptocardii; Amphioxiformes; Branchiostomatidae
Exons: 4
Source: RefSeq, a predicted model, not a curated record